Molecule: transfer RNA, 73 nt
Filed under: Pyxicephalus adspersus
Lineage: Eukaryota; Metazoa; Chordata; Amphibia; Anura; Pyxicephalidae
Description: tRNA-Leu
Rfam family: tRNA
About the family: Transfer RNA (tRNA) molecules are approximately 80 nucleotides in length. Their secondary structure includes four short double-helical elements and three loops (D, anti-codon, and T loops).
Source: RNAcentral
GUUAAUGUAGCAGAGCCAGGCUAUGCCAAAGCCCUAAACCCUUUUUACAGGGGUUCAAAUCCCCUCAUUAACU